This 261-nucleotide ribosomal RNA is filed under the name uncultured archaeon. Its description in RNAcentral is "partial 16S ribosomal RNA". It matches the Rfam family "Archaeal small subunit ribosomal RNA", at positions 748 to 1009 of the family's 1478-position model. The record is from RNAcentral.
UAGGUGUAAAUGAUGCGAGUUAAGUGUGGGGGCAUCUACGAGAUGGCCCUGUGCUGUAGGGUAGCCGUUAAACUCGCUGCCUGGGGAGUACGGUCGCAAGGCUGAAACUUAAAGGAAUUGGCGGGGGAGCACCACAACGGGUGGAGCUUGCGGUUUAAUUGGAUUCAACGCCGGAAAUCUUACCGGGACCGACAGCAACAUGAAGGCCAGGCUGAAGACUUUGCCGGAUUAGCUGAGAGGUGGUGCAUGGCGUAGUCGUGU